This is a long non-coding RNA of Notolabrus celidotus (New Zealand spotty), 302 nucleotides long. RefSeq lists it as uncharacterized. Lineage: Eukaryota; Metazoa; Chordata; Actinopteri; Labriformes; Labridae. The record is from RefSeq and is a predicted model, not a curated record. The transcript is spliced from 4 exons.
GUCGUGCGCAACUACACCAUCGAAGCUCAACGAAGAAGAGCUGUGGCAGAUCUGAUUGGCUGAUCUUGGAUCAUGGAAACAUUCAUGAUGUUUACAACUUCUUGAAGACUGAAAAGACCAAGUGUUCUUCGACAUCACUUCUUUGGAACAUUUUCAAAUCACGCUGGGAUAACAAGGGCCAUACAUUUUUGCACAAAUUUUUGGGGUCCUUGCCAGCUCUUGUGCUCGCUGUCAUGAAAGUAAAUGCCAGAAAAGUGAUGAAGCAGUAGUUGAGCUUUCCAGGACAGGAUGGCAUCUCAGGG